ACUUUAGCCCUGCAGGUAGUUACAGCUGAGCCCAGAGCCUGUCUCUGCUGCUUCCCCACGGUGUGACUUCAGACGGUUUCCUUAACUUCCAGAGCUCCCAUUUGUUGUGUAAUAAUGCCUACUUCAGUGAAAUGUGGGCGGGGUUAGAUGCAAUGACAUAUGGAAAACGCCCAUGGUAGUAAAGCUUGGCACAAAGGUGGAAGCCAAUGUGCCCUCUAUCACUUAUCUUCCAGACUCCCCCGUGAGCCAAAUACAGUUAUUAUUCACUAUUUUGCAACAGACUUUUCAUCAAGGGAGCUGUAUCACUCUGAAGAUCUUCCCACAGGCCUUUUGGGAAUGGGAAAUGGGAGAGCUCGGAGCAGACCUUACCAUGUGCAAAUUAAAUCAGCAAGCAUCA
Long non-coding RNA from Neofelis nebulosa (Clouded leopard), 397 nucleotides. RefSeq lists it as uncharacterized. NCBI's taxonomy places the organism in Eukaryota, Metazoa, Chordata, Mammalia, Carnivora, Felidae. The transcript has 2 exons. The record is from RefSeq and is a predicted model, not a curated record.